GGAGAGGUGUCCGAGUGGUUGAAGGAGCACGCUUGGAAAGCGUGUGUGCGGGCAACCGUACCAAGGGUUCGAAUCCCUUUCUCUCCGCCA
Molecule: transfer RNA, 90 nt
Filed under: Candidatus Nomurabacteria bacterium
Lineage: Bacteria; Candidatus Nomuraibacteriota
Description: tRNA-Ser
Rfam family: tRNA
About the family: Transfer RNA (tRNA) molecules are approximately 80 nucleotides in length. Their secondary structure includes four short double-helical elements and three loops (D, anti-codon, and T loops). Further hydrogen bonds mediate the characteristic L-shaped molecular structure. tRNAs have two regions of fundamental functional importance: the anti-codon, which is responsible for specific mRNA codon recognition, and the 3' end, to which the tRNAs corresponding amino acid is attached (by aminoacyl-tRNA synthetases). tRNAs cope with the degeneracy of the genetic code in two manners: having more than one tRNA (with a specific anti-codon) for a particular amino acid; and 'wobble' base-pairing, i.e. permitting non-standard base-pairing at the 3rd anti-codon position.
Source: RNAcentral